Molecule: ribosomal RNA, 465 nt
Filed under: uncultured bacterium
Lineage: Bacteria
Description: partial 16S ribosomal RNA
Rfam family: Bacterial small subunit ribosomal RNA
Source: RNAcentral
CCUACGGGAGGCAGCAGUGGGGAAUAUUGCGCAAUGGGCGAAAGCCUGACGCAGCGACGCCGCGUGAGGGAUGAAGGUCUUCGGAUCGUAAACCUCUGUCAGCAGGGAAGAACGGUCACUUUGCUAAUCAGCAGUGCAUUGACGGUACCUGCAAAGGCAGCACCGGCUAACUCCGUGCCAGCAGCCGCGGUAAUACGGAGGGUGCGAGCGUUAAUCGGAAUUACUGGGCGUAAAGCGCUCGUAGGCGGUAUGUCAAGUCAAGGGUGAAAUCCCCGCGCUCAACGUGGGAACUGCCUUUGAAACUGGCAAACUGGAGUGUGUGAGAGGAUAGUGGAAUUCCAGGUGGAGGAGUGAAAUCCGUAGAUAUCUGGAGGAACAUCAGUGGCGAAGGCGACUAUCUGGCACAUAACUGACGCUGAGGAGCGAAAGCGUGGGUAGCAAACAGGAUUAGAUACCCUUGUAGUC